CAGAAUAUAUUUUAAUAAAAAUAUUAAUAUUGGGGGUUAAAGUUAUAAUUUUUAUUC
Molecule: transfer RNA, 57 nt
Filed under: Xenos vesparum
Lineage: Eukaryota; Metazoa; Arthropoda; Insecta; Strepsiptera; Xenidae
Description: transfer RNA-Pro
Source: RNAcentral